Molecule: ribosomal RNA, 852 nt
Filed under: uncultured bacterium
Lineage: Bacteria
Description: bacterial SSU rRNA
Rfam family: Bacterial small subunit ribosomal RNA
Source: RNAcentral
AGAGUUUGAUCAUGGCUCAGAACGAACGCUGGCGGCACGCCUAACACAUGCAAGUCGAGCGCACCCUUCGGGGCGAGCGGCGGACGGGUUAGUAACGCGUGGGAACGUACCCUUUACUAAGGAAUAGCCUUUGGAAACGAAGAGUAAUACCUUAUACGCCCUUCGGGGGAAAGAUUUAUCGGUAAAGGAUCGGCCCGCGUAAGAUUAGAUAGUUGGUGGGGUAAUGGCCUACCAAGUCUACGAUCUUUAGCUGGUUUGAGAGGAUGAUCAGCAACACUGGGACUGAGACACGGCCCAGACUCCUACGGGAGGCAGCAGUGGGGAAUCUUAGACAAUGGGCGAAAGCCUGAUCUAGCGAUGCCGCGUGAGUGAAGAAGGCCUUAGGGUCGUAAAACUCUUUCGCCAGAGAUGAUAAUGACAGUAUCUGGUAAAGAAACCCCGGCUAACUCCGUGCCAGCAGCCGCGGUAAUACGGAGGGGGUUAGCGUUGUUCGGAAUUACUGGGCGUAAAGCGCACGUAGGCGGACUGAUCAGUUAGAGGUGAAAUCCCAGGGCUCAACCCUGGAACUGCCUUUAAUACUGUCAGUCUAGAGAUCGAGAGAGGUGAGUGGAAUUCCUAGUGUAGAGGUGAAAUUCGUAGAUAUUAGGAGGAACACCAGUGGCGAAGGCGGCUCACUGGCUCGAUACUGACGCUGAGGUGCGAAAGCGUGGGGAGCAAACAGGANUAGAUACCCUGGUAGUCCACGCCGUAAACGAUGAGAGCUAGUCGUCGGGUAGCAUGCUAUUCGGUGACGCANUUAACGCAUUAANNUCUCCGNCUGGGGAGUANGGUCGCAAGAUNAAACUCAAANGA